Molecule: long non-coding RNA, 317 nt
Organism: Orcinus orca (killer whale)
Lineage: Eukaryota; Metazoa; Chordata; Mammalia; Artiodactyla; Delphinidae
Exons: 2
Source: RefSeq, a predicted model, not a curated record
GACUUCUAAGAGCUUUGGAUAUAAUAAUUGGAAUCAGGCUAUUCUAGAAGGUGGAGAACUUUUGCAGAAAAAUUAAACCAUUCCCCAUGGACAUCAGCUAAUAUCAGAGAAAAAAGGAACUCAAGCAUCAUCUGUCAUUUCUGACAGCAAUGCUGAGUGGCCUAACGAAAACUGCCAUGGUUGUCUUGUUGAAGGGGUCCUUCAUUUGCCUCCCACGCUAUGUGGUAUCCUUCCUACAGCUAUCCACCUCCCUCCACAACCCCUGAACCUGGCUGCCAAGUGCACGCAGAUCAAAAUAGACAGGGGGUGAGCAUAUA